CAUGAAGCUGGAUUCGCUAGUAAUCGCGCAUCAGCAUGCCGCGGUGAAUACGUUCUCGGGCCUUGUACACACCGCCCGUCACACCAUGGGAGUCGGUAACACCCGAAGUCUGUAGCCUGACGCAAGAGGGCGCAGCCGAAGGUGGGAUUGAUGACUGGGGUGAAGUCGUAACAAGGUACC
RNAcentral lists this ribosomal RNA (180 nucleotides) under uncultured bacterium. Its description in RNAcentral is "partial 16S ribosomal RNA". It matches the Rfam family "Bacterial small subunit ribosomal RNA", at positions 1319 to 1500 of the family's 1533-position model. The record is from RNAcentral.